Molecule: long non-coding RNA, 307 nt
Filed under: Dermacentor andersoni
Lineage: Eukaryota; Metazoa; Arthropoda; Arachnida; Ixodida; Ixodidae
Description: uncharacterized LOC126547887
Source: RNAcentral
GGGCUAUCCCCGCGAAAAUGCUUCACGACUGUUCCCCUCAGCAGACUCAACGUGUUUUUCUUCCUUUCGGCACCUCUCUGCGAACUUUAGACUUCGCAGCUGCAGACCUGUGGCGAACCAACAGCCCAAGGACAGAUGGUGUGCAGUUUGACGCGCUCACGGUGCGGGUAUCGCACUAAAACUGCAGAAAUAUGCGCCAUCGAAAGUAGGAAUUGUGCAUAUUGUCGGCUCCUAAUUUCCACUAAUCCUACAAGACGCAUUUCCAGGCAGAAGAUAAACUUGACCAUAAACAAUUUGAGCUGACGAA